Molecule: non-coding RNA, 78 nt
Organism: Podarcis lilfordi (Lilford's wall lizard)
Lineage: Eukaryota; Metazoa; Chordata; Lepidosauria; Squamata; Lacertidae
Source: the annotation of a GenBank genome assembly
UUCAGGAAUAGCUCAGUUGGUAGAGCACGAGACUCUUAAUCUCAGGGUGUUGGGUUCGAAUCCCACAUUUGGCAGAAG